This 510-nucleotide ribosomal RNA is filed under the name Octopus variabilis. Its description in RNAcentral is "partial 16S ribosomal RNA". It matches the Rfam family "Bacterial large subunit ribosomal RNA", at positions 1817 to 2597 of the family's 2925-position model. Lineage: Eukaryota; Metazoa; Mollusca; Cephalopoda; Octopoda; Octopodidae. The record is from RNAcentral.
GUCUCUUUGAGUAAUAUUAAUAGAGAGUUGGGCCUGCUCGGUGAUUUAUAUUUAACAGCUGCGGUAUUAUAACUGUACUAAGGUAGCAUAGUAAUUUGCCUUAUAAAUUAAGGCUAGAAUGAAUGGUUUGACGAAAAUUAAUCUGUCUCUAUUUUAUUUACUAGAAGUUAAUUUUUAUAGUGAAAAAGCUUAAAUGAUUUAAAGGGACGAAAAGACCCUAUUGAGCUUAUAUUAAUAAUUAAUAUAAAUAAAUAUAUUAAGUGAGUUAAUUUUGGUUGGGGUGAUCAAGGAAUAAAAAGUAGUAUUUAUAAUAACUUCCUUAAUUUUAUAAUUUUUGUUGAGUAAUAAACCAAAUAUUUUUGCUUAUAUGAUAAGUUACCAUAGGGAUAACAGCGUAAUUUUUUUUGAGAGUUCAUAUUGAGAAAAGAGAUUGCGACCUCGAUGUUGGAUUAAAAUAACCUUAAGGUGUAGAGGCUUUAUUAGGUAAAUCUGUUCGAUUUUUAAAAUUUU